This 100-nucleotide non-coding RNA is filed under the name Amycolatopsis tolypomycina. The record is from RNAcentral. Lineage: Bacteria; Bacillati; Actinomycetota; Actinomycetes; Pseudonocardiales; Pseudonocardiaceae.
GAGAGCCCGGUACUCGGAAACGGGUACGCCGGGUUCGGGAGAGCGGCAGGGGGAAACGACCCGGCGAAAUCCGGACACCGCGCCCCCUGCCGACUCUCAC